CCUACGGGAGGCAGCAGUGGGGGAUAUUGGACAAUGGGGGGAACCCUGAUCCAGCGACGCCGCGUGAGUGAAGAAGUAUCUCGGUAUGUAAAGCUCUAUCAGCAGGGAAGAAGAAAUGACGGUACCUGAGUAAGAAGCCCCGGCUAACCACGUGCCAGUAGCCGCGGUAAUACGUAGGGGGCAAGGGUUAUCCGGAAUUACUGGGUGUAAAGGGAGCGUAGACGGUGAUGUAAGUCUGGAGGGAAAGGGGGGGGCCCAAACCCCGGACUGCUCUGGAAACUAUGUGACUGGAGUGCAGGAGAGGUGAGCGGAAUUCGUAGUGUAGCGGUGAAAUGCGUAGAUAUUAGGAGGAACACCAGUGGCGAAGGCAGCUCACUGGACUGUAACUGACGUUGAGGCACGAAAGCGUGGGGAGCGAACAGGAUUAGAUACCCCUGUAGUC
RNAcentral lists this ribosomal RNA (442 nucleotides) under uncultured bacterium. RNAcentral describes it as "partial 16S ribosomal RNA". It matches the Rfam family "Bacterial small subunit ribosomal RNA", at positions 338 to 795 of the family's 1533-position model. The record is from RNAcentral.